ACGCUGGCGGCAGGCCUAACACAUGCAAGUCGAGCGGAAACGACACUAUCGAUCCUUCGGAUGCGUUAAUGGGCGUCGAGCGGCGGACGGGUGAGUAAUGCCUAGGAAAUUGCCUUGAUGUGGGGGAUAACCAUUGGAAACGAUGGCUAAUACCGCAUAAUGCCUACGGGCCAAAGAGGGGGAUCUUCGGGCCUCUCGCGUCAAGAUAUGCCUAGGUGGGAUUAGCUAGUUGGUGAGGUAAUGGCUCACCAAGGCGACGAUCCCUAGCUGGUCUGAGAGGAUGAUCAGCCACACUGGAACUGAGACACGGUCCAGACUCCUACGGGAGGCAGCAGUGGGGAAUAUUGCACAAUGGGCGAAAGCCUGAUGCAGCCAUGCCGCGUGUAUGAAGAAGGCCUUCGGGUUGUAAAGUACUUUCAGUUGUGAGGAAGGGGGUAACGUUAAUAGCGUUAUCUCUUGACGUUAGCAACAGAAGAAGCACCGGCUAACUCCGUGCCAGCAGCCGCGGUAAUACGGAGGGUGCGAGCGUUAAUCGGAAUUACUGGGCGUAAAGCGCAUGCAGGUGGUUCAUUAAGUCAGAUGUGAAAGCCCGGGGCUCAACCUCGGAACUGCAUUUGAAACUGGUGAACUAGAGUGCUGUAGAGGGGGGUAGAAUUUCAGGUGUAGCGGUGAAAUGCGUAGAGAUCUGAAGGAAUACCAGUGGCGAAGGCGGCCCCCUGGACA
RNAcentral lists this ribosomal RNA (723 nucleotides) under Vibrio sp. 12C05. Its description in RNAcentral is "bacterial SSU rRNA". It matches the Rfam family "Bacterial small subunit ribosomal RNA", at positions 33 to 735 of the family's 1533-position model. RNAcentral also lists the same sequence under 1 other name. Lineage: Bacteria; Pseudomonadati; Pseudomonadota; Gammaproteobacteria; Vibrionales; Vibrionaceae. The record is from RNAcentral.